Molecule: ribosomal RNA, 450 nt
Filed under: uncultured Glomeromycotina
Lineage: Eukaryota; Fungi; Glomeromycota
Description: SSU rRNA
Rfam family: Eukaryotic small subunit ribosomal RNA
Source: RNAcentral
AGCAGCCGCGGUAAUUCCAGCUCCAAUAGCGUAUAUUAAAGUUGUUGCAGUUAAAAAGCUCGUAGUUGAAUUUCGGGGUUCUUCCGUUGGUCGGGCUAUCCAGUCUGUACUAGCGUGUAGAAUUCCUACCUUCUGGGGAACCAUCAUGUUAUUAAUUUAGCGUGGCGGGAAACCAGGACCUUUACCUUGAAAAAAUUAGAGUGUUCAAAGCAGGCUUACGUCUGAAUACAUUAGCAUGGAAUAAUAGAAUAGGACGGUGGUCCUGUUUUGUUGGUUUCUGAAUCACCGUAAUGAUUAAUAGGGAUAGUUGGGGGCAUUAGUAUUCAAUUGUCAGAGGUGAAAUUCUUGGAUUUAUUGAAGACUAACUACUGCGAAAGCAUUUGCCAAGGAUGUUUUCAUUAAUCAAGAACGAAAGUUAGGGGAUCGAAGACGAUCAGAUACCGUCGUAGU